UAGCAGCGGGAACAGUACUGCAGCAGGUGAUUGGUGCUCUGGGGUAUUGUUCCUGCUGCCUGG
RNAcentral lists this microRNA precursor (63 nucleotides) under Dasypus novemcinctus (nine-banded armadillo). RNAcentral's name for it is "microRNA dno-mir-503 precursor". Its record names the gene dno-mir-503. It matches the Rfam family "mir-503 microRNA precursor family", at positions 6 to 68 of the family's 71-position model. Lineage: Eukaryota; Metazoa; Chordata; Mammalia; Cingulata; Dasypodidae. The record is from miRBase by way of RNAcentral.